This 86-nucleotide transfer RNA is filed under the name Gammaproteobacteria bacterium. RNAcentral describes it as "tRNA-Leu". It matches the Rfam family "tRNA". Rfam says of the family: Transfer RNA (tRNA) molecules are approximately 80 nucleotides in length. The record is from RNAcentral. Lineage: Bacteria; Pseudomonadati; Pseudomonadota; Gammaproteobacteria.
GCCGAGGUGGCGAAAAGGUAGACGCGCUAGUUUCAGGUACUAGUGGGGAUUUCCCCGUGGAGGUUCGAGUCCUCUUCUCGGCACCA